RNAcentral lists this ribosomal RNA (403 nucleotides) under uncultured bacterium. Its description in RNAcentral is "bacterial SSU rRNA". It matches the Rfam family "Bacterial small subunit ribosomal RNA", at positions 356 to 773 of the family's 1533-position model. The record is from RNAcentral.
GGGGAAUAUUGGGCAAUGGGCGCAAGCCUGACCCAGCAACGCCGCGUGAGGGAAGAAGGCUUUCGGGUUGUAAACCUCUGCCCUUGGUGACGAAACAAAUGACGGUAGCCAAGGAGGAAGCCCCGGCUAACUACGUGCCAGCAGCCGCGGUAAUACGUAGGGGGCGAGCGUUGUCCGGAAUUACUGGGCGUAAAGGGUGCGUAGGUGGCCUUUUAAGUUGGAUGUGAAAUACCCGGGCUUAACUUGGGGGGUGCAUCUAAUACUGGAGGGCUAGAGUGCAGGAGAGGAAAGCGGAAUUCCUAGUGUAGCGGUGAAAUGCGUAGAUAUUAGGAGGAACACCAGUGGCGAAGGCGGCUUUCUGGACUGUAACUGACACUGAGGCACGAAAGCGUGGGGAGCAAAC